AAUCAAACUCAGAAACCCUAAUUUCCCAAAUUGGAAACCCUAAAUUUGCAAUCAGAAAUCCUAACCCUCCCCCACUCUCCUCAGCGCCAUCACCCUCAUCACAAGCGUACAGACUCACCCUCUCUCCCUCAGCUUCACCGGCGCACACACAUACACUCAGGACACCACACUCAUUCAGCCCACACCCCUUCUGUCACACACCCACGCCUAGUGAACGGAGCUGCACCACGCCCAGCCCGCCUCGCCAUCGCCGCCAUCAUUAUCGCCGACAAAAAGGACGCCGUCGUCAGCCCCGCGAGAUGCCAUCCGCGUCACUGCCGUCAAAGCUCCGCGACGCUGCCGCCAUUUCGCGAGGAAAGGAUGUUCGCAGAGGGAGAGACGAGCACAAACCAGAUCAGGGGAGAAGCCGCCGUCGCCCUCACUGCGCCGCCGUCGUCUUCGUCACAGAGCCAGCCACCACCACUUAUAGCAAAUUCAGAGAGAUGGAACUCGGGAAGAGAGGAGACAGAGAGCUCGCAGGCUGAGCUGGGGUUCAACCACCGUGCCCAGCCGUGCUCGCGUCGUCGGUGCCGUUUUCGUCGAAACUGCUGCCGUGUUUGAGGGGCUAUGCUUGGCCGCCGUUGUACUGCCCUGCUUCACCGUGGCUGAGCUCCGCUACUCCCUGCUCUUUGGGCUUGUGAUGCUGAUGCGGGAAUUACUACAGGAAGAGAAGAACACGAAGAGGAGAAACUGGGAUCGUUGUUGUCGCCAUCGCUGCUGAAGACCAGCCACCGCGCCGAGCUUUUACCGUCACCAUUCUGCCCGGUGUCGCCAGCACUGAAGUCGGCCGCUACCACCGUCGAGCCUUGUUGGAACUGGUGUUGCUUUUGGAGGUUUGGAAGGGAGGCUUGCUCGGAUUUGCUUCUGCUCUUGGUUCUCGCAGCUGCCGGAGCCUUUGCCACCAUCAGAGCUGCCAUUGAAGCUAUUGAUUUGGUUCAAAUUCCUCCAUUUUUGAGACCUGCUGCAUCUCUAUUUUCCCUGUUUACUGCUACAACUAUCAUAGGGGAUACUGUUGAUGUCAUCAGGAAACUGUUAGAGCUGCUGUUGUUGCUGAUGCGAGUUUGAACGAAGUUGGAGCCACGUUUAAUUUUGUGGAUUUCGACUAACUGAGGUUCGAAGACACAGUGUGAAGCUGGGGCGAUUGUUAGACCUUAUUUAUGAGUUAAGUUUUUGAAUUGAGUUGCUUUCAUAGAAUUCCCUCGCCCUUGUUACUUUAGUUUUUAUUUUACACAGAGGGAUAUGAUUUGUAUCUAAGUUUUAUUUGAAAUCUUUUGUAUGACAGAUAUUAUUAUUAGUAAUUAUGUGAUUAUUAUUA
Long non-coding RNA from Arachis duranensis, 1354 nucleotides. RefSeq lists it as uncharacterized. The transcript has 3 exons. The record is from RefSeq and is a predicted model, not a curated record. Lineage: Eukaryota; Viridiplantae; Streptophyta; Magnoliopsida; Fabales; Fabaceae.